This 147-nucleotide microRNA precursor is filed under the name Marmota monax (woodchuck). Lineage: Eukaryota; Metazoa; Chordata; Mammalia; Rodentia; Sciuridae. The record is from RNAcentral.
UGUUUAAUGUUAAUCUUUUCUUCCUGCUCUUCCUCCCUGCUCUGUUCUUAGUUGCUCUCAUUAUACCAAAUGUCUUCUUUGAUAUAAUGAGAGCAACUAAGAACAAAGCAGGGAGGAAGAGCAGGAAGAAAAGAUUAACAUUAAACA